This 406-nucleotide ribosomal RNA is filed under the name uncultured bacterium. RNAcentral's name for it is "partial 16S ribosomal RNA". It matches the Rfam family "Bacterial small subunit ribosomal RNA", at positions 30 to 526 of the family's 1533-position model. The record is from RNAcentral.
AUUGAACGCUGGCGGCAGGCUUAACACAUGCAAGUCGAGCGAGUGGCGGACGGGUGAGUAAUGUCUCGGAAACUGCCCGGUGGAGGGGGAUAACUACUGGAAAGGGUAGCUAAUACCGCAUACUAUCAGAUGUGCCCAGAUGGGAUUAGCUAGUAGGUGGGGUAACGGCUCACCAAGGCGACGAUCCCUAGCUGGUCUGAGAGGAUGACCAGCCACACUGGGACUGAGACACGGUCCAGACUCCUACGGGAGGCAGCAGUGGGGAAUAUUGGACAAUGGGCGCAAGCCUGAUGCAGCCAUGCCGCGUGUGUGAAGAAGGCCUUCGGGUUGUAAAGCACUUUCAGCGAGGAGGCGGUACUCGCAGAAUAAGCACCGGCUAACUCCGUGCCAGCAGCCGCGGUAAUUC